This 741-nucleotide ribosomal RNA is filed under the name uncultured soil bacterium. RNAcentral describes it as "bacterial SSU rRNA". It matches the Rfam family "Bacterial small subunit ribosomal RNA", at positions 34 to 773 of the family's 1533-position model. The record is from RNAcentral.
CGCUGGCGGCGUGCCUAACACAUGCAAGUCGAGCGAGAAAGUUCUUUCGGGAACUAGUAAAGCGGCGAACGGUUGAGUAACGCGUGAGAAUCUACCCUUCAGUGAGGAAUACCUCCGAGAAAUCGGUGUUAAUACUGCAUACGUCCCUUCGGGGAGAGAGGUGGCUUUAAUGCUGCCGCUGAUGGAUGAGCUUGCGAGCUAUCAGUUAGUUGGUGAGGUAAUGGCUCACCAAGGCUAUGACGGCUAUCCGGCCUGAGAGGGUGUACGGACAGACUGGGACUUAGACACGGCCCAGACUCCUACGGGAGGCAGCAGUGGGGAAUAUUGCGCAAUGGGCGAAAGCCUGACGCAGCGACGCCGCGUGAAGGAUGAAGGUCUUCGGAUUGUAAACUUCUGUUAAGUGGGAAGAAAGAUGCAUUUUUAAUAGAAAUGUGUGAUGACGGUACCAUUAGAGAAAGCACCGGCUAACCUCGUGCCAGCAGCCGCGGUAAUACGAGGGGUGCAAGCGUUAUUCGGAAUUAUUGGGCGUAAAGGGUGUGUAGACGGCAUACUAAGUCAACUGUUUAAUUCUCCGGCCUAACCGGAGGUCAGCGGUAGAAACUGGUAAGCUAGAGUAUGGAAGAGAGAAGUGGAAUUCUCGGAGUAGCGGUAAAAUGCGUAGAUCUCGAGAGGAACACCAAUGGCGAAAGCAGCUUCUUGGUCCAUUACUGACGUUGAGACACGAAAGCGUGGGGAGCAAAC